Molecule: ribosomal RNA, 330 nt
Filed under: uncultured eukaryote
Lineage: Eukaryota
Description: partial 18S ribosomal RNA
Rfam family: Eukaryotic small subunit ribosomal RNA
Source: RNAcentral
CCCUUAGAUGUCCGGGGCUGCACGCGCGCUACACUGUAGAAAGCAGCGUGCUUUAAAACCUUUCCUGAAAAGGAUGGGUAACCCCAGCAAAAUUCUAAGUGCUUGGGAUAGAGAUUUGCAAUUUUCUCUCUUGAACGAGGAAUUCCCAGUAAGUGCGAGUCAUCAGCUCGCGUUGAUUACGUCCCUGCCCUUUGUACACACCGCCCGUCGCUACUACCGAUUGGGAAAAUUUUAGAGAGUCCUGGACUGAUGAUUGUUCGGCUUCACGGCCUUACUUUCGUCGGGAAAGAAUUCGAUAAUAUUUUUCUAGAGGAAGUAAAAGUCGUAACA